RNAcentral lists this ribosomal RNA (119 nucleotides) under Octopus bimaculoides (California two-spot octopus). The record is from RNAcentral. Lineage: Eukaryota; Metazoa; Mollusca; Cephalopoda; Octopoda; Octopodidae.
GCUUACGGACAUAUCACGCUGAGAGCACCGGUUCUCGUCCGAUCACCGAAGUUAAGCAAUGUCGAGCCUAUUGAGUACUUAGAUGGGUGACCGCUUGGGAAACCUAGGUGCUGUAAGCA